RNAcentral lists this long non-coding RNA (630 nucleotides) under Homo sapiens (human). Its description in RNAcentral is "HSALNT0218227". The record is from RNAcentral. Lineage: Eukaryota; Metazoa; Chordata; Mammalia; Primates; Hominidae.
CAAGAAACUCCUUUACGAGAAGAUGAAGGGAGGAGAGAGACGAAAGCGGAGGAGUGUCAAUCCAUAUCUACAAGGACAGAGACUGGAUAAUGUUGUUGCAAAGAAGUCUGUCCCCCAUUUUUCAGAUGAGGAUAAGGAUCCAGAGUAAAGAGAAGAUGCUAGACGAAAACCCACAUUACCUGUUAGGCCUCAGCAUGGCUUAUGUGCACGUGUAAAUGGAGUCCCUGUGAAUGACAGCAUGUUUCUUACAUAGAUAAUUAUGGAUACAAAGCAGCUGUAUGUAGAUAGUGUAUUGUCUUCACACCGAUGAUUCUGCUUUUUGCUAAAUUAGAAUAAGAGCUUUUUUGUUUCUUGGGUUUUUAAAAUGUGAAUCUGCAAUGAUCAUAAAAAUUAAAAUGUGAAUGUCAACAAUAAAAAGCAAGACUAUGAAAGGCUCAGAUUUCUUGCAGUUUAAAAUGGUGUCUGAGGUUGUACUAUUUUGGCCAAGUCUGUAGAAAGCUGUCAUUUGAUUUUGAUUAUGUAGUUCAUCCAGCCCUUGGGCAUUGUUAUACACCAGUAAAGAAGGCUGUACUCAAGAGGAGGAGCUGACACAUUUCACUUGGCUGCGUCUUAAUAAACAUGAAUGCAAGC